RNAcentral lists this non-coding RNA (29 nucleotides) under Mus musculus (house mouse). Lineage: Eukaryota; Metazoa; Chordata; Mammalia; Rodentia; Muridae. The record is from RNAcentral.
UGCAAUGCAAAUAGUGUGUUCUGAAGUGA